This 2198-nucleotide long non-coding RNA is filed under the name Lathyrus oleraceus (garden pea). RNAcentral's name for it is "Pisum sativum (pea) long non-coding RNA (PSAT_LNC011049)". The record is from RNAcentral. Lineage: Eukaryota; Viridiplantae; Streptophyta; Magnoliopsida; Fabales; Fabaceae.
UUUAGUAACCCAGGGAACGAAAUUUUUACGAAGACUUACAGAAACGUCGCGAAGCAACUCGCACUUCAACCACACACACCCUCUCCGUCACCGCAUCGUUGCUAGAAAAAUGGGAUCCGCUUCGAUUCUGCUUCGAUUUGAAUUCAAGAAUGGCUUCCUAUUCUGUCUGACUGAGACGAGGAUGAAGAACUUCGUGUUCGCCAUUGUGGAUUGAGAUGAAGAGAGCGGAAUAAUUGUUGGUCUAUGAAGGUGUUGUUGCGUUGCCGACGAAGAGAAUGAAUCAACGAAGAAUCCAGAGUAAUUUCCGCGAGAUCUCGAACGAAUCUGUAUCCGAUCCGAAGUCCGGCCAAAUCGUAAGCUCCGAUGAUCCUUCUUCUUCUUCUUCUUCUCGUUCUUAGUUUGUUUCUCUGAAUUCUGUGAAACUCUUUUGGCUAUGGAGUUGUGGUUUUUGGUUUUUGCUACCUCUUCAAUCUCUCUUUCUGUUUCAUUCUAUGAAGGUUGUGUGUAGUUAAAAUGGUGAGUGAAGAUUGGUGAGGUUUGAAUGGUUCAAAGUUGACGGAAGGUUUGGUGAUUUGUGAAGUGGAGAUUUUGAGGAGGGUUGUUGAAUGAUGGUGAAGAUGAUGGAGUGAAGUUGGGGGUUCUGUUAAGGGUGGUCUUAUUGAAGGUUGGGGCGUCAAGAAGCUGUUGUGGGCGUGAGGCUCCGUUAGCCGGUUUUCAGAAGAAAAAAUAGUUAUUUUAACUUUCCGUUCCAUCCCCUUUUUUUCUAUUGGAGUUUGUUAUGAGAAGUAAAUCAGCUCGGUUUUGGGAGGUUUUCUUUGUAGGGUAUUCAAGGAUUGGUUUUGUCAUGUGGAGAGCGAUUGGAGGUCCUUUUUCUUUCAAUGUCAGUUGGAAAUCCUGAGUUAGAGUGUGGAUUUGGUUAGUGUCGUGAGGUUGUAACGGUCGGGAUUCAGUUAUCCUUUCUGUCGGAGGUUAGAAUUUGUUUUUUGAAGACACUCUGCUAGUUAUCAAUGUCAGUUACAAUGUGAUUGCAAUUUUACUGGACAUUCUGUUAGGGAGGUUAGAAAUCCGUACAGGUCAUUGAAGGGUUAUUUUGAAUCGGUUAGAGAAGGGUUAGUUUGUUAGUUGUGUAGAAGUUUGUUGGAAGGUUUAUUGAAUUGGUUGAAAUUGUGUACAUUGGUUUUUCUCUGCUGCAGGUCUUUGAAUGCUAUAAAUUAGAAGGAACUUGGAAUUCUGCCGGUUUUUCUCAAAGUUGGUUCUCAGUUUGGAAGUCAAGAGAUUUUGUUCAAUCUUUUGUGUGAGCAGAUAACUUUUUGGAGUUUAUUUCUCUAUUUCAAUUGUGAUGCAGGGUCAUUGGUUUUAUGUUUUUUCUAUUAUGCUCCCAUUGAGAGGUUUUAUGUUUUUUCUAUUAUGCUCCCAUUGAGAGCUUUUUCUUCCAAUAGUGUAGAAGUAUCUAUUUAAAUCGUUCACUGACACAACACGAGGUGAAUCUAUAUCUAUAUAGGAGUAGCUUGCAACUGGUUGAAUAUGAAGUCAUGACUCACAUAUAGUAAUAAGUAGUAGUAUCUAAAAGCAGUACACGCUGACACGUGAAAGCAGAUGUUGAAUAUGAAGUCAUGACUCAUAUAUAUCCAAAAAGCAGUAGAGACACGUGAAAGCAUUACACUGCACUUUAGUUCACUGACACUGACACUAAAACAGUAAGGCAAGAAAACACUAUUUAUAGGACACUACUUAGGGUUAAAGAGUAUUGAAACAGUAAGACUAUUUAAAGGACACCACUGGCACUUAGUGUUAAAAGAGAAACAGUAAGGCAAGAAAACACUAUUUAUAGGACACUACUUAGUGUUAAAGAGUAUUGAAACAGUAAGACUAUUUAAAGGACACCACUGGCACUUAGUGUUAAAAGAGAGUAAAAUACUUCCACUUAUUAAGCCAGUAUGACAUUGAACCAUAUCACAGGAUCCCACAUCACAUCUCUUUUCCCUUCUUCUCUGUAAGAUUAUCAGCAUUGUCCAAAGGGAAAUCGGUUUUCAUUAACUCCCAUUGAAUCACACCCUCUUUCACUUUUGAAAAUGAUGAUGAUCCUUGACCUCUAAGAAAAUUACUUGCCAUUACAUCCAGCUUCUUUGAUAUACCUCUCAAUUCUUCAUAAUCAUCAUCUCUUUCCAGCAUUUUUCUUUUCAGUUUUAGUUGGAACU